CUUUUCUGGAGUUUCAUAGUGAGCCCAGGAUAUGGGUAAACAAGGGACCUGCAAACAGAAAAGUAAAUGCAAGAACAAGAAGGAAGAGAAGUGGAACACAAGAGACUGGCUGAGAGAGCAUGGCUCUUCUGAGAUGCAUCCUUGAAAGAAAAGAGCAGUAAGGAAAAUGAAAAUAAAAACACCCAUGGGCCUUCUCUGCUGGGAAGUCAGCAAAGAUCAGUCCACUUCCAUGUGCAUUUUAAUACCUGUCAGCUGACUCGCAGCACCAAAUAAAAUGCAAGCAUUCAGCGAUGACAGAUGGAUUUGUUGCCCCGGAGGAUUUGGGAUCCAUAAACCAACAAAUGGAUUCACUCAUCUAUAGAAGUUGUUUUUUCAUCUGUGACAGCUAUAAUACAGAUAACAUUAUUCAUUCAAGGUAAAAUCCAGAUCAACAUUAAAGGCCAUGCACAAAUCCUGUCACACAGUUUACAGAGAAGUCUUAAAAAGCGUUGAACAUAGAGCUUAAUUAUCUCUGAAGCGGUAGGUAGAGCAGCAAGCUGGACCUCGGCCUCAGCUGACCACCUUUAGGUAAUCUAUGUUAACACUAGCAUAAAUUCAAAAAAGACAGGUUUCCUCUGAAAAGGCACCAAAAAAGAUUAGCUAGUUAACCAAAUUCAUGCGUGUUGUUUUAAUACUGGAGUAGUGGAAUCCUCUCAUGGUCCCACAUUUCAAUUAGAUUGCUCAAGGUUGCAGACUAACCAGGAGAAAAUUCCCGUGGCCACCUGGUAAAUAGCUGGAAUAAUGCAACCCAAAUGCAACUGGGAAGAACGGUUGUUUUCAGCUGAAUUUGGCUAAAAAUUUGCCUCGCAAUUAGGCUGAAAGGAAAUUUACAGAAAGAAAAUCCCCUGAUGACUCUUUGCUCUUAUUUUUAUAUAUAUGACAGAAGAGAAGACUGUGCAAAACAAAUGUGAAUUCCUACUGCUCUUUCAAAUAUGUUUCUGAAUCUUAGGCUUUAUUACACUAUCUGGUUGAAGAAGAACACCUUGGCCAGC
Long non-coding RNA from Lagopus muta (rock ptarmigan), 1031 nucleotides. RefSeq lists it as uncharacterized. The record is from RefSeq and is a predicted model, not a curated record. Lineage: Eukaryota; Metazoa; Chordata; Aves; Galliformes; Phasianidae. The transcript has 3 exons.